GCGACGGGGGACAUAUCCAACCAAGGAGCGUGGACUAUGGAAACGAGCCGUGCUAUGCACCUCCUCACCAGUGCUUGGAGGGGGUCGCGGCCGCCCGGCGCCACACCUUGGAGGGCUUGGGCUUGUGGUCCUCGUCAUCGCUGGCGCGCCGCUUCUUCGCGUCCGCGAUGGCGCGCUUGAUGUCGUACUGCUUGAGCGGCUUGCGGGCGACGACGCCCUCCGGGUUCGGGACGGGGUUGGCCGCGACGAAGAGCGCGAGCGCCAUCAGGGUGGCGAAGAGGACGUAGAACCGGGAGUACAUGG
This 303-nucleotide unclassified non-coding RNA is filed under the name Hevea brasiliensis (rubber tree). Lineage: Eukaryota; Viridiplantae; Streptophyta; Magnoliopsida; Malpighiales; Euphorbiaceae. The record is from RNAcentral.